This is a long non-coding RNA of Lagopus leucura (white-tailed ptarmigan), 1103 nucleotides long. RefSeq lists it as uncharacterized. Lineage: Eukaryota; Metazoa; Chordata; Aves; Galliformes; Phasianidae. The transcript is spliced from 3 exons. The record is from RefSeq and is a predicted model, not a curated record.
GCAUGAAAGGUAAUGGAGAAGCUGUCAUGCACCUGCUUUGGCUCCAUGUGGUAGAUGAGGAGAGUGCUCUUCCUAUUAUGCACCUGCUGUUUGGGCUGCUCCUUGCAGAGAUAACCCCGAAUCUGUCAGGUCAGCAGGAGGCUUCUUCCUUCCCUAAGGCAUCAAUUUAGAGGUCUGAACAUCAGAGAAGCAUGGCUCCCUGCAGAGAGUGCAUCAGCCCUGGGGUGAACCUUGUUGGUUUCAGCCAACUUCGAGACCUCAUCUUAAUGGCCACAACAGGAGCAGCUAGGACUGGAGUCCCAAGUUGACUCGGAAGCAAGAGAAGUGAACCAGAGGACUGAGCAUGCCUAAAUCUCCUGUGGAGAAUCUCCAGACUUAACAGGAUAUGUGUGCCAUGUGGGAUUAUUUGCUGCGCUCAAACCAGCAGUGGAAUAAUGUUACCUCUGGAUUACAAGUCUACUGAUGUCACUGCACUCCCAAUUGUGUUAAAACUCAGACAAAAGACAUACAUUCUCUGCCAAAAGGUUCUAUCUUGUCCCCAUUCAUCUCAGUGUCUAUUUUCUCAAAUUUAGCAACAGAAGUUAAAUUAUUGAAAUCAAAUUAUUUCAUGUCUCUCAUUUUUCUGGCAGGCGCAUAAUGGCUAUUGACAAUGAGCUGUCGAUCAAGUUUUAGAAAGAACCAUCAGCAGUAGGCAGGAGAAAGAUUCAAGGGAUUUCCAGCAAAAGCUGAAAAUAUCUCUAAUGAAAGGCUGAGUGAAAUCUUUUCCUAAUGAAAGCACCAACUUGUAACCAGAAACUGUGUGCUUUCAGAGUGCCUUAGCCUGGCAUUUUUCUUAUCAUCUCCAGCUGAAAGAUGAUGUAUCUCAGACUCACACUGCAAUUUAAUUGGUGUCCAUAUGGCUUUCUGCACAGUGUUUUAGAGGCUGAAUUUGAAUACAUAGUUUCCUCUUGACUGAAAGUGCUUUAUAUAAAGCAGAAAUGUGAUGUAUUUGAAUGAUGUUGGCUUCUGAUCAGCCCAUGCCACGUAGCCUCAUGAUUUAUGUGUUUGACAAGAUCAGAAUAAAAAAAAGGGAGCAAAAUGCUGGCUUGAGUUCCUUUGAGACA